GAGCUGCAGGAAAGAGUCAAAUGAACAAAACUAUCUGACACAAUUUCAGCUUGCUAUAACAAGAAAGUCUAACCUAUUCCAGUGUUUUUUUUCCACAUGAGACAACACUUUAUAUAGGCUCAAACAAU
Nannospalax galili (Upper Galilee mountains blind mole rat) is the source of this 128-nucleotide small nucleolar RNA. NCBI's taxonomy places the organism in Eukaryota, Metazoa, Chordata, Mammalia, Rodentia, Spalacidae. The record is from Ensembl.